Molecule: transfer RNA, 71 nt
Filed under: Cryptopsilotris batrachodes (toadfish goby)
Lineage: Eukaryota; Metazoa; Chordata; Actinopteri; Gobiiformes; Gobiidae
Description: tRNA-Val
Rfam family: tRNA
About the family: Transfer RNA (tRNA) molecules are approximately 80 nucleotides in length.
Source: RNAcentral
CGGGGCGUAGCUAAACAUUAUAGUAUCUCUUUUACACCGAGAAGAUACCCGUGCAAGUCGGGUCGCUCUGA